UCAUUCAUAUAGCAACCGAUUUGUGUUUCGAAAAGUAACUCGGGUACUUAGACUGCAAGCAGAAUUGAACUUCAUUUUUUUUGACAAGGAUUUUGCCGCAACAACUUGUUGCGAUAGGGGUUUAACUAAAUUGCAAUGCUUUGCCGCAUCAGCUUGUACUGAUAGUAAGUAAUGGAGGGGUAUCAUGGUCUUUAGUCUUGUCACAACAAGUUAUUUUAAUUUGUUGCCGCAACAGGCAGGGAGGAAGAUAAUUCAAUCUCGACCAUUCAUUAUCGAGAUCAACGGCUAG
This 289-nucleotide long non-coding RNA is filed under the name Panax ginseng (ginseng). RNAcentral describes it as "long non-coding RNA (PGIN_LNC013263)". Lineage: Eukaryota; Viridiplantae; Streptophyta; Magnoliopsida; Apiales; Araliaceae. The record is from RNAcentral.